GUGCGAACAGGUGAGGAAACCCGAGAGCUAAGUUUUGGGGCGGGGCUGGAGUCGUAUUAGGUCGAAGGUGGUAUAAAAGACCACCUUGCCCAGGAUGCGUGGCUUUAAACUGGAAGCCAUCUUUUCACUGAAGCAAAGGGAGGGCUCAAAAAGGGAGCGAAAAGCUCCUGAGGCAGCAGUAUAUAACUUUAUGCAAUGUACGAAAGUGCGACAUAGAAGGGGCGUAUAACUUAAUCUGUCUAAUUAAGUGCCAGCAGACGCGGUGAAACUUAAGGAUUAGUAUUAUAGGAAAAAGCGUAAAGGGUGUGAGGGGCUUAUCCCAACAAGAGGGUAAAUGGAAUUUUUCUGUAGGGGUAGAAUGUGUAGAUAGAAAAAAGAACUCUAAACGCGAAGGCAAUUUAUCUCAUGGGUGGUACGCCAACUGCUCCGUUGUUACACGAAAGUAUGGGGAGCAAACAGGAUUAGAGACCCUGGUAGUCUAUAUUGCAAAUAAUGAAGAAGAUGUGAGGCAAUCCUAAAGGGCAAUAAAUUUUUCGCUUGAGUAGUAUGAUCGCAAGAUUUAAAUUCAAAAAACUUGGCUGCUCACUGCUAUGAUCAGAGGAGCGUGUCGUUUAAUUCGAUAGUCCGCGAGAGACCUUACCCAAACUUGAAUUCGCCCUUUAACAGGUAUUGCAUGGCCGUCGUCAAUUUGUGUAUUAAAUGUAAAACGGAUUCAACCCAGUGGUUGGCAACCCCUCGUCUUCGGAGCGGUGCCAUUAUUGGAUGAAGUCAGGUCUUAUUGUCCUAAUGUUUGGGGAUUAGAUGCGCUACAUUUUCUUAUACAAUGGGAGAUUUUGAAGGUGGAACCCUAAAGUAAGAGUUCGGGAGGUGGCUGGAAGAUAACUGAAAGUGGGAUUUGAUAGUAAUUAGAAAGUAGAGCGUUCUGGUGAAAUUGAUGCAGUGUUAGUACAAAUAGCCCGUCGCCUUGGUCAAGAAUGGGUACUCAAAUGC
This 990-nucleotide ribosomal RNA is filed under the name Rhodactis sp. BN-2014i. Its description in RNAcentral is "partial small subunit ribosomal RNA". It matches the Rfam family "Bacterial small subunit ribosomal RNA", at positions 186 to 1427 of the family's 1533-position model. The record is from RNAcentral. Lineage: Eukaryota; Metazoa; Cnidaria; Anthozoa; Corallimorpharia; Discosomidae.